GGGGGUGUAGCUCAGUGGUAGGGCAACUAUAUUGCAUGCAGAAGGUCCCAGGCUCAACCCUUGGCAUCUCAA
Podarcis lilfordi (Lilford's wall lizard) is the source of this 72-nucleotide non-coding RNA. The record is from the annotation of a GenBank genome assembly. NCBI's taxonomy places the organism in Eukaryota, Metazoa, Chordata, Lepidosauria, Squamata, Lacertidae.